RNAcentral lists this long non-coding RNA (406 nucleotides) under Gallus gallus (chicken). RNAcentral describes it as "lncRNA (ENSGALG00010009771.1)". The record is from RNAcentral. Lineage: Eukaryota; Metazoa; Chordata; Aves; Galliformes; Phasianidae.
AUUUCAUCUGAGGGUCUUAUAGGCCUUCUGAAGGUAAAUAGGUUUGUUUGGUUUGUGCUUACUGCUGUUGUGUCUGAGCAGAUCCUCACUCGCUGUGGCCUGAAAUCUUGCUGUCUUGUUCUUCCCAUCACAUUACAGAUGUAUGAUCCAUACUUGUCACAUACUUUAGUAAUACUGGAAUUCCCUUUGUCUGCGGAAACCCAGGAAUUCUUACAGAAGAUGCAUUACUGAGAUGGACAAAACCCCUGAACAGUAAUGAUACAAUGGAAGUUGGUCAAAAGGAGAAGCUCCUUUGGACCAGAUUCGGUGCUCUUCAGCCAGUUUCAGGACCUGUAAAUGCCACUCAAUGAACAUGAUGGACAGUUAAAGACCAAACACUUAGCAUAGUAUGAAAAGUAUCAAGGAG